AUGCUACAAACCAGGCUGGGGUUAACGCACGGCUCUUCCAGGCAGGGCUGGCGGAGGCUGUGCUGCAGGGAAGGGAAGAAAUACAGAGUUGAGGGGGGAUUUAAAGCUGGUGGCGAGGCACUGCGUGGUGUCCCCGUGCCAAUCUCCCUUCCUGCCGACUGCAGUGUCCUGGAGCACUGUCCCAUCCCGCCUGCUCGGCGCCCACCCAGCAGCCCAAGGACGCGGUAUGUCAGCAGAUCUGUUCCCCCCCCCCAAGGCUCACUGUCUGGCUGGGCCCCAGCAUGUCGCAGAUCCUCCCAAGGUCUCUGCUUCUGCCGCACAGAAGGCAGCGAAAUGUGGAAUUUCUGUGUUUCGUCUGCUCCCAAUCAGUGCCUUUUGUUGGUGUCUUUGAGAGG
RNAcentral lists this long non-coding RNA (395 nucleotides) under Gallus gallus (chicken). RNAcentral describes it as "long non-coding RNA NONGGAT004717". Lineage: Eukaryota; Metazoa; Chordata; Aves; Galliformes; Phasianidae. The record is from RNAcentral.